This 371-nucleotide ribosomal RNA is filed under the name uncultured bacterium. RNAcentral describes it as "bacterial SSU rRNA". It matches the Rfam family "Bacterial small subunit ribosomal RNA", at positions 29 to 429 of the family's 1533-position model. The record is from RNAcentral.
AACGAACGCUGGCGGCAGGCCUAACACAUGCAAGUCGAACGCUCCGCAAGGGGAGUGGCGCACGGGUGAGUAACACGUGGGAACCUACCUUCUGGUACGGAACAACCAAGGGAAACUUUGGCUAAGACCGUAUACGACCUCCGGGUGAAAGAUUGAUCGCCGGAAGAGGGGCCCGCGUCCGAUUAGGUAGUUGGUGAGGUAACGGCUCACCAAGCCUUCGAUCGGUAGCUGGUCUGAGAGGAUGGACCAGCCACACUGGGACUGAGACACGGCCCAGACUCCUACGGGAGGCAGCAGUGGGGAAUAUUGGACAAUGGGCGCAAGCCUGAUCCAGCCAUGCCGCGUGAGUGAUGAAGGCCUUCGGUUGUAAG